This 526-nucleotide ribosomal RNA is filed under the name uncultured bacterium. Its description in RNAcentral is "partial 16S ribosomal RNA". It matches the Rfam family "Bacterial small subunit ribosomal RNA", at positions 355 to 874 of the family's 1533-position model. The record is from RNAcentral.
UGGGGAAUUUUGGACAAUGGGCGAAAGCCUGAUCCAGCAAUGCCGCGUGUGUGAAGAAGGCCUUCGGGUUGUAAAGCACUUUUGUCCGGAAAGAAAUCCUUGGCUCUAAUACAGUCGGGGGAUGACGGUACCGGAAGAAUAAGCACCGGCUAACUACGUGCCAGCAGCCGCGGUAAUACGUAGGGUGCAAGCGUUAAUCGGAAUUACUGGGCGUAAAGCGUGCGCAGGCGGUUUGCUAAGACCGAUGUGAAAUCCCCGGGCUCAACCUGGGAACUGCAUUGGUGACUGGCAGGCUAGAGUAUGGCAGAGGGGGGUAGAAUUCCACGUGUAGCAGUGAAAUGCGUAGAGAUGUGGAGGAAUACCGAUGGCGAAGGCAGCCCCCUGGGCAAGUACUGACGCUCAUGCACGAAAGCGUGGGGAGCAAACAGGAUUAGAUACCCUGGUAGUCCACGCCCUAAACGAUGUCAACUAGUUGUUGGGGAUUCAUUUCCUUAGUAACGUAGCUAACGCGUGAAGUUGACCGCCU